CAGUCGCCGCGGGAAUACGUAGGGUGCGAGCGUUAAUCGGAAUUACUGGGCGUAAAGCGUGCGCAGGCGGUUAUAUAAGACAGAUGUGAAAUCCCCGGGCUCAACCUGGGACCUGCAUUUGUGACUGUAUAGCUAGAGUACGGUAGAGGGGGAUGGAAUUCCGCGUGUAGCAGUGAAAUGCGUAGAUAUGCGGAGGAACACCGAUGGCGAAGGCAAUCCCCUGGACCUGUACUGACGCUCAUGCACGAAAGCGUGGGGAGCAUACAGGAUUAGAUACCCGUGUAGUCCCUGUCUCUUAUAC
RNAcentral lists this ribosomal RNA (301 nucleotides) under uncultured bacterium. Its description in RNAcentral is "partial 16S ribosomal RNA". It matches the Rfam family "Bacterial small subunit ribosomal RNA", at positions 509 to 807 of the family's 1533-position model. The record is from RNAcentral.